Long non-coding RNA from Carassius carassius (crucian carp), 322 nucleotides. RefSeq lists it as uncharacterized. The transcript has 2 exons. The record is from RefSeq and is a predicted model, not a curated record. NCBI's taxonomy places the organism in Eukaryota, Metazoa, Chordata, Actinopteri, Cypriniformes, Cyprinidae.
CAGUAAAAGCUCCAAUAAUACCAAUGUAUCACUGAUCUGCAAGUCUGCAAUGGAGUCUCCUGAUGGUGUGUUGAGGAUUCAGUCAGUGGAUCUUACCUGUGAAGUUUCUGAAGUAACUGAUUCAGUGACGCUGGUCUGGCUCAGGAUGGAGGGGAACAGAGGAGUGCUGGUCAAACAGCAAAAUAUGACUGAGAAAAACACCUUGUUACAUCUCACAGUGAAUCUAUCCAAAUAUGAAUCAGACCCGCUGCACUGGCAGUGUGCAGUUUAUACUGAGAAUACACUCAGAGCUCUGGUCCCUAUAACAAUCAAUUGUAACUCA